CAUAGGUUAAUGAGGCGAACCGGGGGAACUGAAACAUCUAAGUACCCCGAGGAAAAGAAAUCAACCGAGAUUCCCCCAGUAGCGGCGAGCGAACGGGGAGCAGCCCAGAGCCUGAAUCAGUGUGUGUGUUAGUGGAAGCGUCUGGAAAGGCGCGCGAUACAGGGUGACAGCCCCGUACACAAAAAUGCACAUACUGUGAGCUCGAUGAGUAGGGCGGGACACGUGGUAUCCUGUCUGAAUAUGGGGGGACCAUCCUCCAAGGCUAAAUACUCCUGACUGACCGAUAGUGAACCAGUACCGUGAGGGAAAGGCGAAAAGAACCCCGGCGAGGGGAGUGAAAAAGAACCUGAAACCGUGUACGUACAAGCAGUGGGAGCCUCUUUAUGGGGUGACUGCGUACCUUUUGUAUAAUGGGUCAGCGACUUAUAUUCUGUAGCAAGGUUAACCGAAUAGGGGAGCCGAAGGGAAACCGAGUCUUAACUGGGCGUUAAGUUGCAGGGUAUAGACCCGAAACCCGGUGAUCUAGCCAUGGGCAGGUUGAAGGUUGGGUAACACUAACUGGAGGACCGAACCGACUAAUGUUGAAAAAUUAGCGGAUGACUUGUGGCUGGGGGUGAAAGGCCAAUCAAACCGGGAGAUAGCUGGUUCUCCCCGAAAGCUAUUUAGGUAGCGCCUCGUGAAUUCAUCUCCGGGGGUAGAGCACUGUUUCGGCAAGGGGGUCAUCCCGACUUACCAACCCGAUGCAAACUGCGAAUACCGGAGAAUGUUAUCACGGGAGACACACGGCGGGUGCUAACGUCCGUCGUG
RNAcentral lists this ribosomal RNA (807 nucleotides) under Escherichia coli. Its description in RNAcentral is "partial 23S ribosomal RNA". It matches the Rfam family "Bacterial large subunit ribosomal RNA", at positions 165 to 1012 of the family's 2925-position model. The record is from RNAcentral. Lineage: Bacteria; Pseudomonadati; Pseudomonadota; Gammaproteobacteria; Enterobacterales; Enterobacteriaceae.